AUUGAACGCUGGCGGCAGGCCUAACACAUGCAAGUCGAGCGGAUGACGGGAGCUUGCUCCUUGAUUCAGCGGCGGACGGGUGAGUAAUGCCUAGGAAUCUGCCUGGGAGUGGGGGACAACGUUUCGAAAGGAACGCUAAUACCGCAUACGUCCUACGGGAGAAAGCAGGGGACCUGCGGGCCUUGCGCUAGCAGAUGAGCCUAGGUCGGAUUAGCUAGUUGGUGGGGUAAUGGCUCACCAAGGCGACGACCCGUAACUGGUCUGAGAGAAUGAUCAGUCACACUGGAACUGAGACACGGUCCAGACUCCUACGGGAGGCAGCAGUGGGGAAUAUUGGACAAUGGGCGAAAGCCUGAUCCAGCCAUGCCGCGUGUGUGAAGAAGGUCUUCGGAUUGUAAAGCACUUUAAGUUGGGAGGAAGGGCAGUAAGCUAAUACCUUGCUGUUUUGACGUUACCGACAGAAUAAGCACCGGCUAACUCUGUGCCAGCCGCCGCGGUAA
Molecule: ribosomal RNA, 500 nt
Filed under: uncultured bacterium
Lineage: Bacteria
Description: partial 16S ribosomal RNA
Rfam family: Bacterial small subunit ribosomal RNA
Source: RNAcentral